AGCUCCAAUAGCGUAUAUUAAAGUUGUUGCAGUUAAAAAGCUCGUAGUUGGAUCUCAGGCGUAGACGGGCGGUCCGGCUCGCAGCCGGUUCACUGCCCGCUUUCUACCCUAACCCCUGUCGGCUCUCUCCUGCGGGUGCUCUUCACUGAGCGUCCCAGGUGGCCGACGCGUUUACUUUGAAAAAAUUAGAGUGUUCAAAGCAGGCUCAACAGCCUGAAUAAUGGUGCAUGGAAUAAUGGAAUAGGACCUCGGCCCUAUUUUGUUGGUUUCCGGGACGGAGGUAAUGAUUAACAGGGACAAACGGGGGCAUUCGUAUUGCGGCGUUAGAGGUGAAAUUCUUGGAUCGCCGCAAGACGAGCUACUGCGAAAGCAUUUGUCAAGAAUGUUUUCA
RNAcentral lists this ribosomal RNA (391 nucleotides) under marine Metazoa environmental sample. RNAcentral describes it as "SSU rRNA". It matches the Rfam family "Eukaryotic small subunit ribosomal RNA", at positions 587 to 972 of the family's 1831-position model. Lineage: Eukaryota; Metazoa. The record is from RNAcentral.